RNAcentral lists this transfer RNA (85 nucleotides) under Erythrobacter sp. YJ-T3-07. RNAcentral describes it as "tRNA-Leu". It matches the Rfam family "tRNA". From Rfam's summary of the family: Transfer RNA (tRNA) molecules are approximately 80 nucleotides in length. Their secondary structure includes four short double-helical elements and three loops (D, anti-codon, and T loops). Further hydrogen bonds mediate the characteristic L-shaped molecular structure. tRNAs have two regions of fundamental functional importance: the anti-codon, which is responsible for specific mRNA codon recognition, and the 3' end, to which the tRNAs corresponding amino acid is attached (by aminoacyl-tRNA synthetases). tRNAs cope with the degeneracy of the genetic code in two manners: having more than one tRNA (with a specific anti-codon) for a particular amino acid; and 'wobble' base-pairing, i.e. permitting non-standard base-pairing at the 3rd anti-codon position. The record is from RNAcentral. Lineage: Bacteria; Pseudomonadati; Pseudomonadota; Alphaproteobacteria; Sphingomonadales; Erythrobacteraceae.
GCGGGUGUGGCGGAAUGGUAGACGCCGGGGACUUAAAAUCCCCUGUCCUUAGGACGUGUGGGUUCGAGUCCCACCACCCGCACCA